RNAcentral lists this non-coding RNA (26 nucleotides) under Homo sapiens (human). Lineage: Eukaryota; Metazoa; Chordata; Mammalia; Primates; Hominidae. The record is from RNAcentral.
GAGCGGUGGUUUCUUCAUAGAGCAGC